GAUGAACGCUGGCGGCGUGCCUAAUACAUGCAAGUCGAGCGAACAGACGAGGAGCUUGCUCCUCUGACGUUAGCGGCGGACGGGUGAGUAACACGUGGAUAACCUACCUAUAAGACUGGGAUAACUUCGGGAAACCGGAGCUAAUACCGGAUAAUAUAUUGAACCGCAUGGUUCAAUAGUGAAAGACGGUUUUGCUGUCACUUAUAGAUGGAUCCGCGCCGCAUUAGCUAGUUGGUAAGGUAACGGCUUACCAAGGCAACGAUGCGUAGCCGACCUCAGAGGGUGAUCGGCCACACUGGAACUGAGACACGGUCCAGACUCCUACGGGAGGCAGCAGUAGGGAAUCUUCCGCAAUGGGCGAAAGCUUGACGGAGCAACGCCGCGUGAGUGAUGAAGGUCUUCGGAUCGUAAAACUCUGUUAUUAGGGAAGAACAAAUGUGUAAGUAACUAUGCACGUCUUGACGGUACCUAAUCAGAAAGCCACGGCUAACUACGUG
RNAcentral lists this ribosomal RNA (497 nucleotides) under uncultured bacterium. Its description in RNAcentral is "partial 16S ribosomal RNA". It matches the Rfam family "Bacterial small subunit ribosomal RNA", at positions 28 to 507 of the family's 1533-position model. The record is from RNAcentral.